Molecule: ribosomal RNA, 257 nt
Filed under: Escherichia coli
Lineage: Bacteria; Pseudomonadati; Pseudomonadota; Gammaproteobacteria; Enterobacterales; Enterobacteriaceae
Also listed under: 1 other name
Description: partial 16S ribosomal RNA
Rfam family: Bacterial small subunit ribosomal RNA
Source: RNAcentral
AAAUUGAAGAGUUUGAUCAUGGCUCAGAUUGAACGCUGGCGGCAGGCCUAACACAUGCAAGUCGAACGGUAACAGGAAACAGCUUGCUGUUUCGCUGACGAGUGGCGGACGGGUGAGUAAUGUCUGGGAAACUGCCUGAUGGAGGGGGAUAACUACUGGAAACGGUAGCUAAUACCGCAUAAUGUCGCAAGACUAAAGAGGGGGACCUUCGGGCCUCUUGCCAUCGGAUGUGCCCAGAUGGGAUUAGCUAGUAGGUG